UGGGGAAUAUUGCACAAUGGGCGCAAGCCUGAUGCAGCAAUGCCGCGUGAGUGAAGACGGCCUUAGGGUUGUAAAACUCUUUCGCUAGGGAAGAUAAUGACGGUACCUAGUAAAGAAGUCCCGGCUAACUCCGUGCCAGCAGCCGCGGUAAUACGGAGGGGGACUAGCGUUGUUCGGAAUUACUGGGCGUAAAGAGUUCGUAGGCGGACUAGCAAGUUAGAGGUGAAAUCCCAGGGCUCAACCUUGGAACUGCCUUUAAAACUGCUAGUCUAGAGACCGGAAGAGGUUAGGGGAAUACCUAGUGUAGAGGUGAAAUUCGUAGAUAUUAGGUGGAACACCAGUGGCGAAGGCGCCUAACUGGUCCGGUACUGACGCUGAGGAACGAAAGCGUGGGGA
RNAcentral lists this ribosomal RNA (396 nucleotides) under uncultured bacterium. Its description in RNAcentral is "bacterial SSU rRNA". It matches the Rfam family "Bacterial small subunit ribosomal RNA", at positions 355 to 767 of the family's 1533-position model. The record is from RNAcentral.